AGAAUCAACGCUGGCGGCGUGCCUAACACAUGCAAGUCGAACGAGAAAGUGGAGCAAUCCAUGAGUAAAGUGGCGACCGGGUGAGUAACACGUGACUAACCUACCUUCAAGUGGGGGAUAACCUCGGGAAAACCGAGGCUAAUACCGCAUAAUAUCGCAAGAUCAAAGCAGCAAUGCGCUGGAAGAGGGGGUCGCGGCUGAUUAGCUAGUUGGCGGGGUAACGGCCCACCAAGGCGAAGAUCGGUAUCCGGCCUGAGAGGGCGCACGGACACACUGGAACUGAAACACGGUCCAGACUCCUACGGGAGGCAGCAGUGGGGAAUUUUGCGCAAUGGGGGAAACCCUGACGCAGCAACGCCGCGUGGAGGAUGAAGCCCCUUGGGGCGUAAACUCCUUUCGACCAAGACGAUAAUGACGGUACUGGUGGAAGAAGCACCGGCUAACUCUGUGCCAGCAGCCGC
RNAcentral lists this ribosomal RNA (461 nucleotides) under uncultured bacterium. Its description in RNAcentral is "SSU rRNA". It matches the Rfam family "Bacterial small subunit ribosomal RNA", at positions 26 to 518 of the family's 1533-position model. The record is from RNAcentral.